This 1554-nucleotide ribosomal RNA is filed under the name Escherichia coli. RNAcentral's name for it is "bacterial SSU rRNA". It matches the Rfam family "Bacterial small subunit ribosomal RNA". Lineage: Bacteria; Pseudomonadati; Pseudomonadota; Gammaproteobacteria; Enterobacterales; Enterobacteriaceae. The record is from RNAcentral.
AAAUUGAAGAGUUUGAUCAUGGCUCAGAUUGAACGCUGGCGGCAGGCCUAACACAUGCAAGUCGAACGGUAACAGGAAGCAGCUUGCUGCUUCGCUGACGAGUGGCGGACGGGUGAGUAAUGUCUGGGAAACUGCCUGAUGGAGGGGGAUAACUACUGGAAACGGUAGCUAAUACCGCAUAACGUCGCAAGACCAAAGAGGGGGACCUUCGGGCCUCUUGCCAUCGGAUGUGCCCAGAUGGGAUUAGCUUGUUGGUGGGGUAACGGCUCACCAAGGCGACGAUCCCUAGCUGGUCUGAGAGGAUGACCAGCCACACUGGAACUGAGACACGGUCCAGACUCCUACGGGAGGCAGCAGUGGGGAAUAUUGCACAAUGGGCGCAAGCCUGAUGCAGCCAUGCCGCGUGUAUGAAGAAGGCCUUCGGGUUGUAAAGUACUUUCAGCGGGGAGGAAGGGAGUAAAGUUAAUACCUUUACUCAUUGACGUUACCCGCAGAAGAAGCACCGGCUAACUCCGUGCCAGCAGCCGCGGUAAUACGGAGGGUGCAAGCGUUAAUCGGAAUUACUGGGCGUAAAGCGCACGCAGGCGGUUUGUUAAGUCAGAUGUGAAAUCCCCGGGCUCAACCUGGGAACUGCAUCUGAUACUGGCAAGCUUGAGUCUCGUAGAGGGGGGUAGAAUUCCAGGUGUAGCGGUGAAAUGCGUAGAGAUCUGGAGGAAUACCGGUGGCGAAGGCGGCCCCCUGGACGAAGACUGACGCUCAGGUGCGAAAGCGUGGGGAGCAAACAGGAUUAGAUACCCUGGUAGUCCACGCCGUAAACGAUGUCGACUUGGAGGUUGUGCCCUUGAGGCGUGGCUUCCGGAGCUAACGCGUUAAGUCGACCGCCUGGGGAGUACGGCCGCAAGGUUAAAACUCAAAUGAAUUGACGGGGGCCCGCACAAGCGGUGGAGCAUGUGGUUUAAUUCGAUGCAACGCGAAGAACCUUACCUGGUCUUGACAUCCACAGAACUUUCCAGAGAUGGAUUGGUGCCUUCGGGAACUGUGAGACAGGUGCUGCAUGGCUGUCGUCAGCUCGUGUUGUGAAAUGUUGGGUUAAGUCCCGCAACGAGCGCAACCCUUAUCCUUUGUUGCCAGCGGUCCGGCCGGGAACUCAAAGGAGACUGCCAGUGAUAAACUGGAGGAAGGUGGGGAUGACGUCAAGUCAUCAUGGCCCUUACGACCAGGGCUACACACGUGCUACAAUGGCGCAUACAAAGAGAAGCGACCUCGCGAGAGCAAGCGGACCUCAUAAAGUGCGUCGUAGUCCGGAUUGGAGUCUGCAACUCGACUCCAUGAAGUCGGAAUCGCUAGUAAUCGUGGAUCAGAAUGCCACGGUGAAUACGUUCCCGGGCCUUGUACACACCGCCCGUCACACCAUGGGAGUGGGUUGCAAAAGAAGUAGGUAGCUUAACCUUCGGGAGGGCGCUUACCACUUUGUGAUUCAUGACUGGGGUGAAGUCGUAACAAGGUAACCGUAGGGGAACCUGCGGUUGGAUCACCUCCUUACCUUAAAGAAGC